GGUAAAAUGGCUGAAGUUUAGGCGGUAAAUUGUAAAUUUAUUUAUGGAUUUUCAUCCUUUUACUA
This 65-nucleotide transfer RNA is filed under the name Haemaphysalis campanulata. RNAcentral's name for it is "tRNA-Tyr". Lineage: Eukaryota; Metazoa; Arthropoda; Arachnida; Ixodida; Ixodidae. The record is from RNAcentral.